UGUAUAAUCCUUGAUUCUAAAGGGUAAUAUAAUAACUAUUUGCCUUUCAUUUAGGCUGAUUGUGAGUCAAGUCUGUAUCUGCUGAGGAAGUUAAGUGAUGCACCCUCUAAUUAAGCCCCUGCAGCACUUUCCUCCUACAUAAAUGGGCUGGUGGGUUCCUGGUUGUUCCUGUGGCCACCAGUGCAGCUGAGGGACCCAUCUGAGUGACAGAUCUCUGUGGGAGAUCCCACCUUUAAUCCCUGCCAUCAGACUCUGCUGUCGUGACUGUGACUCUGCAUGGGAAGAGCCAAUUCUCCAGGAACACAAUUUAUUUCAGUGAU
Molecule: long non-coding RNA, 320 nt
Filed under: Junco hyemalis (dark-eyed junco)
Lineage: Eukaryota; Metazoa; Chordata; Aves; Passeriformes; Passerellidae
Description: lncRNA (ENSJHYG00000010194.1)
Source: RNAcentral